UGUUAUGUAAAGUUGUGUUUGAUGUUUUUAUUACACAGGAUACACAUUGUGAUAUAUAUAUUCGUACAUCGCCAUCAAUUUCAUACCGCUGUCGUAAAGUUAACUACUAGCAGAAUUUGGGAUCUACUGUCAUCGUAACCAAAACAAUGCCGUCUAUUAGGAUAUUGGUUAUUCUCACGGUCGUGUGCAUCCUCGCAGGGACUUUAGCGCAGCAGGCAGAAGCUCAGUGUGGAUGUGGAUAUUUUCGCUGUAACAAGUCGGAGUGCUAUGCUGGAAAAUGUGGGCUGUUCAACUUUAAACAUUAUUGCUGCGACAAAACGAGCAUUAUGUGUGAUUAUGUGUAAUCUAGAGUAAGACGUUGUAUGUCCGCUUGUGUUUUAAACUAAUGAUGUGACAAACUAAUCAUCUGUUUUUUCUACUUAUUGAUAUAAAUGAAGAAUAUCCAUUUAUUAGCUCGCCUUGUCAUUAAAUAUAUACGACUUUUUGUACAAACGUAUUUUAUAAGCCAUCUCGUUUCCAAUAUUCUUCGGUUAAAUUCGGUUAAAUUACAAAGUUUGUUAUUCAAUUAACUUCGAAAAUUGAAAUCUCUUUUCACUAUAACGCAUAUGAAAAUUGCAUUUUCUUUGUGUGUGAUAUCGCAACAACAUAUUAAACAUAAUGUGUGAUUCCUUGUGAAUAAACGUGUAUGUUGUUAUCACGUUUCUUUAUUUUCUUUCAGAUAGCCGGAUGGAAUACUAUUGUUUCAGUAAAAAUAAAAAGACUCGAAACUUG
This is a long non-coding RNA of Dreissena polymorpha, 771 nucleotides long. RefSeq lists it as uncharacterized. The transcript has 3 exons. The record is from RefSeq and is a predicted model, not a curated record. Lineage: Eukaryota; Metazoa; Mollusca; Bivalvia; Myida; Dreissenidae.